This 433-nucleotide ribosomal RNA is filed under the name uncultured bacterium. RNAcentral describes it as "partial 16S ribosomal RNA". It matches the Rfam family "Bacterial small subunit ribosomal RNA", at positions 29 to 507 of the family's 1533-position model. The record is from RNAcentral.
AGCGAACGCUGGCGGCAGGCCUAACACAUGCAAGUCGAACGAACUCUUCGGAGUUAGUGGCGGACGGGUGAGUAACACGUGGAAACGUGCCUUUUGGUUCGGAAUAACUCAGGGAAACUUGUGCUAAUACCGAAUGUGCCCUUCGGGGGAAAGAUUUAUCGCCAUUAGAGCGGCCCGCGUCUGAUUAGCUAGUUGGUGAGGUAACGGCUCACCAAGGCGACGAUCAGUAGCUGGUCUGAGAGGAUGACCAGCCACACUGGGACUGAGACACGGCCCAGACUCCUACGGGAGGCAGCAGUGGGGAAUCUUGCGCAAUGGGCGAAAGCCUGACGCAGCCAUGCCGCGUGAAUGAUGAAGGUCUUAGGAUUGUAAAAUUCUUUCACCGGGGACGAUAAUGACGGUACCCGGAGAAGAAGCCCCGGCUAACUUCGUG